GUCUUUUGGGCCGUGGUGGUGAAACAACUCAAUGGCCUUGCCGAGCCGAGGUCAACAGCACAAUGCUUUGGGGCUGCUCAGGGUUACCAAAGAGAAGAGUCCCGAAGACAAUGAGGUCCAACAGAAGAAAGAAGAUGACCUGAGAGAUUUCAGGUCCUGUCCACUAUCCUCCCCUGCAGACUUUGCCUCUUGCUGGGUUCCUGUGCUCCAAGCAUCAAGUCAAGGAGCUCAUUCUGGACGAGCCAAGCUGCAUGGAAAACCCCAUGACAAUUGAUCUUUUGUGGAUCAUGUCCAUGUUCAAUAAACUUGUCAUUAAUCAGUGAUGUGUGUCCAGUGUAUCUCAUCAGAGCCUCCCAUCCCUUAAGUUCUUUACACGAAAAAUAACAGUGGGAGGGAAGGUGAAAGGGGAGCUGGUACUCAGCUUCCAGACUCAACACAUCUGGUUCUCGAGAGGCGUUUUCUUGGAUGCCUUGCCCUGAUAUCCUCAUUCACGCAAAACUCAACCCUUUUCCCACCC
Molecule: long non-coding RNA, 517 nt
Filed under: Dasypus novemcinctus (nine-banded armadillo)
Lineage: Eukaryota; Metazoa; Chordata; Mammalia; Cingulata; Dasypodidae
Description: lncRNA (ENSDNOG00000051233.1)
Source: RNAcentral